AGCAGCCGCGGUAAUUCCAGCUCCAAUAGCGUAUAUUAAAGUUGUUGCAGUUAAAAAGCUCGUAGUUGAAUUUCGGGAUCAAUAUGUUGGUCGUGCCUUGGUACGUACUGGCGUCAUUGGUUUCUACCUUCUGAAGAACCUCGAUGUCAUUAAUUUGGUGUCUUGGGGAAUCAGGACUGUUACUUUGAAAAAAUUAGAGUGUUUAAAGCAGGCUCACGCUUGAAUACAUUAGCAUGGAAUAAUGAAAUAGGACGUUUGAUUCUAUUUCGUUGGUUUCUAGGAUCGACGUAAUGAUUAAUAGGGAUAGUUGGGGGCAUUAGUAUUCAAUUGUCAGAGGUGAAAUUCUUGGAUUUAUUGAAGACUAACUACUGCGAAAGCAUUUGCCAAGGAUGUUUUCAUUAAUCAAGAACGAAAGUUAGGGGAUCGAAGACGAUCAGAUACCGUCGUAGUCCUUAAACCAUAAACUAUGCCGACUAGGGAUCGGAUGAUGUUAAUUUUUAAUGUACUCAUUCGGCGCCUU
Molecule: ribosomal RNA, 520 nt
Filed under: uncultured Glomus
Lineage: Eukaryota; Fungi; Glomeromycota; Glomeromycetes; Glomerales; Glomeraceae
Description: SSU rRNA
Rfam family: Eukaryotic small subunit ribosomal RNA
Source: RNAcentral